GACGAACGCUGGCGGCGUGCUUAACACAUGCAAGUCGAACGGAAAGGCCCUGCUUUUGUGGGGUGCUCGAGUGGCGAACGGGUGAGUAACACGUGAGUAACCUGCCCUUGACUUUGGGUAACUUCAGGAAACAGGGGCUAAUACCGGAUAGGAGCUCCUUCUGCCUGGUGGGGGUUGGAAAGUUUCGGCGGUUGGGGAUGGACUCGCGGCUUAUCAGCUUGUUGGUGGGGUAGUGGUUUACCAAGGCUUUGACGGGUAGCCGGCCUGAGAGGGUGACCGGCCACAUGGGGACUGAGAGACGGCCCAGACGGCUACGGGAGGCAGCAGUGGGGAAUAUUGCACAAUGGGCGGAAGCCUGAUGCAGCAACGCCGCGUGCGGGAUGACGGCCUUCGGGUUGUAAACCGCUUUCGCCUGUGACGAAGCGUGAGUGACGGUAAUGGGUAAAGAAGCACCGGCUAACUACGUG
RNAcentral lists this ribosomal RNA (467 nucleotides) under uncultured bacterium. RNAcentral's name for it is "partial 16S ribosomal RNA". It matches the Rfam family "Bacterial small subunit ribosomal RNA", at positions 28 to 507 of the family's 1533-position model. The record is from RNAcentral.